This 253-nucleotide ribosomal RNA is filed under the name uncultured bacterium. Its description in RNAcentral is "partial 16S ribosomal RNA". It matches the Rfam family "Bacterial small subunit ribosomal RNA", at positions 524 to 776 of the family's 1533-position model. The record is from RNAcentral.
UACGGAGGGUGCAAACGUUGCUCGGAAUCAUUGGGCGUAAAGCGCACGUAGGCGGUCCCAUAAGUCGGGUGUGAAAGCCCUCGGCUUAACCGAGGAAGUGCAUUCGAAACUGCGGGACUUGAGUACCGGAGAGGGUGACGGAAUUCCCGGUGUAGAGGUGAAAUUCGUAGAUAUCGGGAGGAACACCAGUGGCGAAGGCGGUCACCUGGACGGAUACUGACGCUGAGGCGCGAAAGCCAGGGGAGCAAACGGG